Molecule: long non-coding RNA, 2758 nt
Filed under: Mus musculus (house mouse)
Lineage: Eukaryota; Metazoa; Chordata; Mammalia; Rodentia; Muridae
Description: long non-coding RNA chr8:105636956-105639714
Source: RNAcentral
CCAACAUGGUAGGCCUCUGGCGGCGGUGGCGACAGAGGCCUGCGCGCUCGGCGACUCCAUUUUCCUUCCUUUGUCUCUACCCUCGAGGCCGGCUUUUGGCCCGGCUGAUCUUCGGGCCACGGCCCGCCCUCUGCCCCUCCCGCGACGGAUACCCCUUACCGAGUCUGGACCCUCUGAGGCUCGGUUGCCGCCGCUUGCUUCGCCUAGGGGUUCUGAACCCUCGGCCGGCCGCUUAGCCAGGUCCCGGAACCGUGUGGGUGUCGGGUCCCGACCGACGCGCCUCAGACUCCCCAUCUUCAAGUCCAGCCGGUCCCGGAACCUACCCGAUCUCCCUGCGUUGCUUCUCCAGCAGCUGGGGUGCUCUCUAGUCUCUCGUAGUCCGAUCGUCCCCGCUGCCGGUCUCCGUCGCCGCCGAGUGUCGCAGGCGGCGCUGCUGUGGCUGCGAGCAGAGGGGACCCCUGAGCUGCCGAGAGCUCCCUCUGCAAGGCUGGCUGAGCUGCUCGCGCCUCGACGCCGCCCGAGCGGGCGGGGGAACGCGCGCUCGCCGCCCCCGCCGGGCCCCGCUGCGCCCCCAAACUCACGCCAGGGCAUCGCGCGGGACCCGACCGGUGCGGCCCCCAAUGGUGCGCGGAAAAAGACACGAAUUCCUGCACCAAAGUAGUUUUUCUCCAGCUGUAUUCGCACUCUUUCAGCCCCUUGAAACGAUAGCAGUCAGACUUGGUGCGCUCAGAAAUCUCAAAAGGGACUGAAACUUAAUUUCACUCUCAUCUCAAGUGAUGUGAUAAACUCAUAAAUUCGGGAGCAUGGGCUGGUUGCGAUGGUACAGGCGACGCUGGAGUUUGCCUCCUAUUUAAAAUGUCCUGACGCUAACUUUGCACUCCACUUAGGACCUGAUGCUCUAGGGCUAGGCUAAGACAGUUCAGCCCCUCUCUAGAGAUCGUGCAAACCGAUCUAAUGCGCCAAUAGGGUAGAAUGAACUUAUUCAUGACUGGACUGGUAAUUUGACUGUUGGAUGAAAUGUGAGGGUUGAUGUUGUAAUUGGAUCCUGGGUCACUUGCAGCAGAUGGUUUAUAAAUUUCUGUGCCUAAUGUAACUACUCUUUAGUAUCUGACUUCCUGUAUUGAGUUUAGCAUUAAGUAAACAUUAGCAAAGAGACUUAAUACUUUUUUGGAGUUUAGAUCAACUAAGAAAGCUAAAAUUCCAAGGCAUCCAUAGGCAGGAAAAGAAAUUAAACAGGGUAUUUAUCCUGGCAUUAAGUCUUUUGCAUUUAAAAGCUUCCUUUGAUAAACUGCUGGAGUAACCUUUUCGUACCCACUCUAACACGGAUUUUCUUUUUUUUUUUUUGGUUUUUCGAGACAGGGUUUCUCUGUAUAGCCCUGGCUGCCUUGGAGCUCACUUUGUAGACCAGGCUGGCCUCGAACUCAGAAUCCGCCUGCCUCUGCCUCCCGAGUGCUGGGAUAAAAGCCUUUCCCCACCACGCUUAACACGGAUUUUCUUACCAAUUAGCCACUGAUGUGUGGCUUAGGUUCUUAAGAAAAAAAUCUAGGUUGACAUUUUCAGAAAGAAAAGAUAAUGAGGUGCUUUAACACACCAACACACACACACAAACACACUGUCUCUCUAGCUCUGGCUGUCCUUGGAGCUCUGCAGACCAGGCUGGCCUCAAACUCAGAUUCACCUGCUUCUCUCUCUGUCUUCCUAGCCCUGUGGUUAAAGAUGUGCUCCAACGACGCACUCGCUUCCAUCAUCUUGAUGCUAAGAAAGAUUGUGUUGUUUACUGUGUGUGAUUUCAGUUUGGAGGUUUUAGCAACCCACAUUGUAUGCAACUCUUUGAACACUCCCCAACCUUUCUGCCCUCCAUAAAUGAACCCAGGAUUCUCUGGCUGGUUAGGCCACACUAGCCACACAUUGAAAUCCUAUGAAACUGCUUUCGUGAUGCUUGGGCAUGCUAUGCAAGUGUUCGGCCUGUGCACUGUGUUCUUAGUCAUUUCAGCAGCACCUCAUUCCUUUUUUAAUUCUCCAGAAUGUCCUUCCUCACCUUCUCUCUUUAGUAGUAGUGUAGAGUGCCAGCCUUGUAGAACUUUGUUUUUAAAAUGUAUUAAGCCAAACUAUGUAAUUUAUUAUAUUCUUAGAGUUUUACUGUCAAGUUUGUGUUUGACAAGUGCCAUAUUUUGUUUAUGAAAAGAAGCUGCACAAGUUCCCAAUGGUAGUGAAUGACAGUGCUUCAGAAGUAGAGGCAGGAGCAUAGGAGUUCAAGGUUAUCCUUGGCUUUGUAGCAAAUAUAAGGCAACCCUUUGCUGCAUGAGACUGCCUUAGCAGAUUGAGUGGUUGGGAUUUGUUUUUGUAGCACUGGGGUUUGAACUCAGUGCCCUGGGUAAGCCAGGCAAGUGCUCUCUGAGCUAUUUCUUUAGCCCCUUUCUAGUUUUGAGGUAAAGUCUCUUUAAGUUGCCUAGGUUGGCCUUGAAUUUACUGUGUAGCUUAGGUAGGCCUCCCACUUUCAAUCCUCCUAAUUCCGAAAUACCUGGGAUUACAAGCUUGAAUCCAGAUACAUUUAAAGUUAGGGUGGGUCAGGAUUGAGUGGCUAAAUUUAGUCCCCAAUACUACUGGAACAAAUAAAUAGCAAAUAUUAGCAAAGUACAAUGAUUCCUUUGAAAAUGUCAUGAAAUGUGUUGUUUUGUAUGCUUAUGAUUUUUAAAAAUGGAAAGGAAACAACUAAGUCUAUAAGGAAAAUAAAUUGGAGGAGGGGAAUUAAUGCAAG